AUUGAACGCUGGCGGCAGGCCUAACACAUGCAAGUCGAGCGGAUGAAGGGAGCUUGCUCCUGGAUUCAGCGGCGGACGGGUGAGUAAUGCCUAGGAAUCUGCCUGGUAGUGGGGGAUAACGUCCGGAAACGGGCGCUAAUACCGCAUACGUCCUGAGGGAGAAAGUGGGGGAUCUUCGGACCUCACGCUAUCAGAUGAGCCUAGGUCGGAUUAGCUAGUUGGUGGGGUAAAGGCCUACCAAGGCGACGAUCCGUAACUGGUCUGAGAGGAUGAUCAGUCACACUGGAACUGAGACACAGUCCAGACUCCUACGGGAGGCAGCAGUGGGGAAUAUUGGACAAUGGGCGAAAGCCUGAUCCAGCCAUGCCGCGUGUGUGAAGAAGGUCUUCGGAUUGUAAAGCACUUUAAGUUGGGAGGAAGGGCAGUAAGUUAAUACCUUGCCGUUUUGACGUUACCAACAGAAUAAGCACCGGCUAACUUCGUG
This 484-nucleotide ribosomal RNA is filed under the name uncultured bacterium. Its description in RNAcentral is "partial 16S ribosomal RNA". It matches the Rfam family "Bacterial small subunit ribosomal RNA", at positions 30 to 507 of the family's 1533-position model. The record is from RNAcentral.